GACGAACGCUGGCGGCGCGCUUAACACAUGCAAGUCGAACGGAAAGGCCCUGCUUUUGUGGGGUGCUCGAGUGGCGAACGGGUGAGUAACACGUGAGUAACCUGCCCUUGACUUUGGGAUAACUUCAGGAAACUGGGGCUAAUACCGGAUAGGAGCUCCUGCUGCAUGGUGGGGGUUGGAAAGUUUCGGCGGUUGGGGAUGGACUCGCGGCUUAUCAGCUUGUUGGUGGGGUAGUGGCUUACCAAGGCCUUGACGGGUAGCCGGCCUGAGAGGGUGACCGGCCACAUUGGGACUGAGAUACGGCCCAGACUCCUACGGGAGGCAGCAGUGGGGAAUAUUGCACAAUGGGCGGAAGCCUGAUGCAGCAACGCCGCGUGCGGGAUGACGGCCUUCGGGUUGUAAACCGCUUUCGCCUGUGACGAAGCGUGAGUGACGGUAAUGGGUAAAGAAGCACCGGCUAACUACGUG
This 468-nucleotide ribosomal RNA is filed under the name uncultured bacterium. RNAcentral's name for it is "partial 16S ribosomal RNA". It matches the Rfam family "Bacterial small subunit ribosomal RNA", at positions 28 to 507 of the family's 1533-position model. The record is from RNAcentral.